This 647-nucleotide ribosomal RNA is filed under the name uncultured bacterium. Its description in RNAcentral is "bacterial SSU rRNA". It matches the Rfam family "Bacterial small subunit ribosomal RNA", at positions 140 to 805 of the family's 1533-position model. The record is from RNAcentral.
GGGAUAACAGCUGGAAACGGCUGCUAAUACCGCAUAAGCGCACGAGGAGACAUCUCCUUGUGUGAAAAACUCCGGUGGUACAGGAUGGGCCCGCGUCUGAUUAGCUGGUUGGCAGGGUAACGGCCUACCAAGGCAACGAUCAGUAGCCGGUCUGAGAGGAUGAACGGCCACAUUGGAACUGAGACACGGUCCAAACUCCUACGGGAGGCAGCAGUGGGGAAUAUUGCACAAUGGGGGAAACCCUGAUGCAGCAACGCCGCGUGAGUGAAGAAGUAUUUCGGUAUGUAAAGCUCUAUCAGCAGGGAAGAUAAUGACGGUACCUGACUAAGAAGCUCCGGCUAAAUACGUGCCAGCAGCCGCGGUAAUACGUAUGGAGCAAGCGUUAUCCGGAUUUACUGGGUGUAAAGGGUGCGUAGGUGGCAGUGCAAGUCAGAUGUGAAAGGCCGGGGCUCAACCCCGGAGCUGCAUUUGAAACUGCUCGGCUAGAGUACAGGAGAGGCAGGCGGAAUUCCUAGUGUAGCGGUGAAAUGCGUAGAUAUUAGGAGGAACACCAGUGGCGAAGGCGGCCUGCUGGACUGUUACUGACACUGAGGCACGAAAGCGUGGGGAGCAAACAGGAUUAGAUACCCUGGUAGUCCACGCCGUAA